AACCCAUGGUGAGGACACCUCCGUAAGAGGUCCUUAUACCUCUCCCAAGCAUCAUAAAGUGACUCCAUAUCUUGUUGGAAAAAAUUAAUGAUGUCACUCCUCAUCUU
Pistacia vera is the source of this 107-nucleotide small nucleolar RNA. The record is from RefSeq and is a predicted model, not a curated record. NCBI's taxonomy places the organism in Eukaryota, Viridiplantae, Streptophyta, Magnoliopsida, Sapindales, Anacardiaceae.